AGGAUUCCCCUAGUAGCGGCGAGCGAAGCGGGAAGAGCUCAAAUUUGUAAUCUGGCACCUUCGGUGUCCGAGUUGUAAUCUCUAGAAGUGUUUUCCGCGUUGGACCGCACACAAGUCUGUUGGAAUACAGCGGCAUAGUGGUGAUACCCCAUUACACGGUGCGGACGCCCAGCGCUUUGUGAUACACUUUCGACGAGUCGAGUUGUUUGGGAAUGCAGCUCAAAUUGGGUGGUAAAUUCCAUCUAAAGCUAAAUAUUGGCGAGAGACCGAUAGCGAACAAGUACCGUGAGGGAAAGAUGAAAAGCACUUUGGAAAGAGAGUUAAAAGUACGUGAAAUUGUUGGAAGGGAAACGCUUGAAGUCAGACUUGCUUGCCGGGCUUGCUCGGUUUGCAGGCCAGCAUCAGUUUUCCGGGGCGGAUAAUGGCAGUUAGAAUGUAGCAGUCUCGGCUGUGUUAUAGCUUUCUGCUGGAUACGUCCUGGGGGACUGAGGAACGCAGCGUGCCGUAUGGCGAGGGCUUCGGUCCUUUCACGCUUAGGAUGCUGGUGGAAUGGCUUUAAACGACCCGUCUUGAAACACGGACCAAGGAGUCUAACAUGCUUGCGAGUAUUUGGGUGUCAAACCCGGAUGCGUAAUGAAAGUGAAUGGGAGGUGGGAAGCGCAAGCUGCACCAUCGACCGAUCU
RNAcentral lists this ribosomal RNA (683 nucleotides) under Rhodotorula toruloides. Its description in RNAcentral is "LSU rRNA". It matches the Rfam family "Eukaryotic large subunit ribosomal RNA", at positions 71 to 771 of the family's 3401-position model. The record is from RNAcentral. Lineage: Eukaryota; Fungi; Basidiomycota; Microbotryomycetes; Sporidiobolales; Sporidiobolaceae.